This 336-nucleotide unclassified non-coding RNA is filed under the name Hevea brasiliensis (rubber tree). The record is from RNAcentral. Lineage: Eukaryota; Viridiplantae; Streptophyta; Magnoliopsida; Malpighiales; Euphorbiaceae.
GGGGGGGGGGGGGUGUUGGCAGGCAGGCGGCGCAGGGAGAUAGGGAGAGAGAACACGUGCAUGUUAAAAGUAAUUAAAAUUUAGAAAAUUGAAAUUGUGUUUGUGUGCCUUUAUAGAUUCUGCAAAAAUAGCAAUUAUCUUGAAUAUUAAUAAAGAUAGAGAGCAGGAGAAAGAAAAAGGGGGGUGUGUGUGUGUAUUGGAUAUUGUGCAUGUGUCAGAAAUGCAGAUAUUAGAUAUAUGCAUGGCAACAUGAUAACUAAUAAGAUUAAGAAUAACUACAUCUGCCAGAGAAUGUACAUAGCACAUAACUACAUCUGCCAGAGAAUGCAUGUAGCA